Non-coding RNA from Nicotiana attenuata, 105 nucleotides. NCBI's taxonomy places the organism in Eukaryota, Viridiplantae, Streptophyta, Magnoliopsida, Solanales, Solanaceae. The record is from Rfam.
CGGAGCCGUAUGACGUGAGAGUGUCACGUACGGUUCCUUUGAGAAGGGUGUGCUCUUUCUCAUUUCUGUAUUUCUUUCCCAUGACGACUUAGGUCUAAUUCCUAU